Molecule: ribosomal RNA, 366 nt
Filed under: Triticum aestivum (bread wheat)
Lineage: Eukaryota; Viridiplantae; Streptophyta; Magnoliopsida; Poales; Poaceae
Description: partial small subunit ribosomal RNA
Source: RNAcentral
AUGCUUCCUGAGUAUUCUUUUCUCCGCACUUUUGGUUGUGCGUGUUGGCCUAGUUUGCGUAAGUACAAUUCACGUAAACUCGAGUUUCACUCUAGGAUGUGUGUGUUUCUUGGUUAUAGUCCCAUGCAUAAAGGCUACAAGUGCCUUGAUCGCUCCACUGGUCGUAUUUACAUCUCCCGUGACGUCGUGUUCGACGAGACGGUGUUUCCCUAUGCCGCUCCCGGUGCCACUGUUGAUGUCUCCCAACUCCUUCCCGUGUCAUUUCCGUCCGAUGAGCCAGUUACUCAGAGUACCGACACGCGUAAUUAUGACAUUACCUUGUUACCGGCUAAUGCACCUGGUGUUGUUGUUAGUUCUCCUGUGUAG